UUUUUCUCAGAGCAGAGUAGAGCAGAUGUUUCAGGUUGCUGCCAUCAGAGAGCAGUGACUUGACCUCAGUGUCUUAUUUAGUGUACUACUCCCACAUUGAACUCUACUUUUUGGGUCCACGCACCUACUUAUUUCUAAACAUCUAGAGUGCAACAAUACCCAUGCCUCCUAAUGUGCCAUAUAACCUGUAUCUCGCCUAUUGUGUGUGUGUGUGUGUGUGUGUGUGUGUGAGUGUUCGUGAAUGUGUUCACGCAGAUAUAAGAAGUUGGGGUUGGGGUUGAUGAUCCACAUGAUGGUGAUGGACCAGGACAGCUCUGGACCUCCUGACUGGCAGCUCCAUCCUCAACCUCCCUUCCUGUCCUUCACACAUGUGCAGGCAGAGGCAGUUUUCUGAAGGAUGGUUAAUGUCAGUAUCAACAUGUUGUGAUGGAGGCUUCCACCUGAGCUGAACACAGAAACUUGCACACAGUGAUGGAAGCAGUCGUUCCUGUUCAGCAUUGAUAUGCCGGUAAUGGGUUUGAUGAGCCACAGCGUGGUGAUGGGCAAUCAGCAUCAGGACCAGGGCCGCUCACAAGGAGAACCUCCUGCCCUGCCUCUUCAUCCUCAACCUCCAAUCUUCCUGCUCUUCACACAUGUGCAGGCACAGAGCCAGUUUUCAGAGGGAGGGCUGAUGACACCAGCAACUUCGGAUCUGAACCUGAUCAACCCAGCACCAACCACUGUGCCGCUCCUCCUCUGCCAACUGCACCACAUGGCUCCACCAUCUCAAAAAGGCACAGACACUACUCCACUUCCUGCGAAGGAUGAGAGAAGAGCCGACCUCCCCACAACGGCACUCACCACCUUCUACAGGGGUGUCAUUGAGAGCAUCCUGACCAGCAGCCUCUCUGUCUGGCAUGGCAGCCGUCAAGCUGAAGACUAGAAGGCAGUACAGAGAGUGGUGAGGACAGCAGAAAAGCUCAUAAGAUCACCCCUACCUGUUCUCCCUACUACCAUCAGGGAAGCGCUAGCCCAGCAUGCAGUGCUGCAAAAGCACACUGGGAAACGACUUCUUUCCACAAGCCAUCAGACUCCUCAACGCACUGAAGAAAACCACAUGAAUAACCAAGGACACGGGAGAAUAUUCCAUGAACACUUCUUUCACCAUGCCACUUACACUUUACUCAUUGCACCUUGUAUACAGCAUCUUCACACCACCUGUAUGAACUCCUCCUGCCGUGUGUGUGUGUCCACUGUGUUUGUGUAUUUAUUGUCCAUCAGUAUGUUAAUCUUAUUAUUGCACACUGUUUGGGUGUCUGUAUUUAUAGUAUGUAUCAGUCUAUAUUUAAUGCCAAUGCCUUAUUUUUAGUUAUUAGUUAAAUGCACAUUGGAGACUGGUCAAACACAAUUUCAAACUUUGUGUUAACUCUCUUGUUGACCGUUCACACUUCAUAGUGUAAAAGUAAACAGAAAUAAAUUCACAUUUCA
This is a long non-coding RNA of Engraulis encrasicolus (European anchovy), 1467 nucleotides long. RefSeq lists it as uncharacterized. The transcript has 4 exons. The record is from RefSeq and is a predicted model, not a curated record. Lineage: Eukaryota; Metazoa; Chordata; Actinopteri; Clupeiformes; Engraulidae.